UGAUGAGUGGGUGAAUUAGGAGUGAGUGAAUUAGAGACAGGGAGAAUUAAUGAGUGAGUUGAGUGAAUGCAUGAAUGAGUGAGUGAAUGAACGAAUGAGGGUAAAUUACUGAGUAAGUGAGCAAAUGGGUGGGUGAAUUAAUGAGUGAAUGGGUGGGUGAAUUAAUGAGUGAGUGAAUGAGUGAAUGUGUGGGUGGAUUAAUGAGUGAGCAAAUCGGGAGUCAGGGCAUGUGUGUUCGAGUGGUAUGAGGAGGCAUCUUCAUGUUCUUUCCACUGCUAGAAGCCCUAAGAAACAGAAGAUCCGACCAAGGGGUAAACACAGAAGAGAUGUGGAGGGCAGCUCCGGGAGGAGCCUCCAAGGGCUGAGCCCAGGCCUCUGCCACCUGCCUGGCACCUAUGGCAGGCCACAGGCAAAAAUAACAAUGCAUUUUUCCAUAGAUGACAUCUUAGAUUCAAUUAAAUAAGGUCUACGAUCAACCAAGAUCAACCACACCAUGCCACAGCCAUGACCCGUUAUAUCCAAGAGCUACUAGGUGGACACUGCAAAUGAAGAGCUAUUAGAUACAUGAAUCAUGACAUACCUGACUUACCAAAUGCACAAUCUGCAUGACUGCCUAGGAGGCACAUUCUAGAUUCACAUCCCACCACAUUAUAACCUACCCCAUAAGUAAAUCUAUCCACUCAUCACUGUAAAUUGCAUAAUCUAUUACAUACAUGAUUCAUUCCACCCUUAGCCAACGCCAAACAGUAUCUCCUAGAUACACAUUCCUCAUAUAAAUGACGCACCACCUAUAAGAUCUGCUGGCUCUGUGACCUCAGGCAAGCUAUUAUUUCUUUUGUUCUUGUUGUUCAUUGUUACUACAUAGUUUAUUUAAACCAAGCUAUGAUAAUACAGCUGCCCAGAAUCUUUGUGGAUUACAGAUGCAAAGUAACUGGAGACGUGUCCUUGCACCUAUAGUUCAGUAAUAGACAGAAAGUUUGUUACAUUUACUAAGUACAGAGAACUGAAUACACAUGACAUUGUACAUCCAUCUUUUUGCUUUGUAUUUCCAUUUUAAACAUAUGUAUGUUACAACUUUACAUUUUAAAUAUGACUCCAUGUAUUUUGUGACAAUGGCUAAGAACGCAAUGAUCCCAUGCCCCUGAAAUAAGCACACUUUGGUCUGCAAUGCAGAAUGUUUUCAUUGGGGUACCAAACAAACCCUUAACACAUAACAGACAAAAACUCCUUAAAAAUCAGAUUUAAUACAAUGUUCUUCAUGUUAGAUAAGGAGAAAGAACGGGAGGUGGAAAAGGAAAACAUUGGGGUACUUUAAAUGUACAGUGUCUUGAGACCUUGAAAGUUUCAGGCCAGGCACAGGGGCUCACACCUGUAAUCCUAGCAUCUUGGGAGGCCGAGGCAGGCAGAUCACCUGAGGUCAGGAGUUCAAGACCAGCCUGGCCAACAUGGAGAAACCCUGUCUCUACUAAAAAUACAAAAAUCAAAAAUUAGCUAGGCAUGGUGGCAUGCCCCUGCAGUCCAGGCUACUUGGGAGGCUGAGGCAGGAGAAUCACUUGAACCUGGGAGGUGGAAGCUGCAGUGAGCCGAGAUUGUUCCACUGCACCUGGGUGACAGAGCAAGACUCUGUCUAAAAAAAAAAAAAGAAUGUUUUCUUCAGGGGAUGAAGAGACGUUGGUUCAUGGGUACAAAAAUAAGUGAGAUAGAAGGAAUAAGAUCUAGUUCUUAUAGCACAGUAGAGCGAUUAUAGUUAACAAUCAUUUACUUUAUAUUUCAAAAUAGCCAGAAGAGAAGAUCUGAAAUGUACCCAACACAAAGAAAUGAUAAAUGUUUGAGGUGAUGGAUAUCCUAAAUACUUUGCAUGGUAUGCAUGUAUCAAAAUACAUGUGCUCCAUAUAUAUGUACAAUUAUUAUGUAUCAAUUAUAAAAAGUUUCAUUCCCUUCCUCCAAGGGAUUUUUUUUUUAACUAGUGGAAAAAAGAAAGCAACUUCAUAACGCCCUCCAGUGAGGAAGAACAUUAUCCUGACAAUGCUUAGGUGCUUUCAUAUGAGCACAUAAUAA
RNAcentral lists this long non-coding RNA (2058 nucleotides) under Homo sapiens (human). Its description in RNAcentral is "non-protein coding lnc-FITM2-5:1". Lineage: Eukaryota; Metazoa; Chordata; Mammalia; Primates; Hominidae. The record is from RNAcentral.